AGGCUAGAAAGCAAAAUUGGUUUUUUGCAAAAGAUUGCAAAUCUUAGGUUAUUGGUUCGAGUCCAAUUCUAGCUUA
This 76-nucleotide transfer RNA is filed under the name Polysiphonia sp. RNAcentral describes it as "tRNA-Cys". It matches the Rfam family "tRNA". Rfam says of the family: Transfer RNA (tRNA) molecules are approximately 80 nucleotides in length. Their secondary structure includes four short double-helical elements and three loops (D, anti-codon, and T loops). The record is from RNAcentral. Lineage: Eukaryota; Rhodophyta; Florideophyceae; Ceramiales; Rhodomelaceae.